Molecule: ribosomal RNA, 468 nt
Filed under: uncultured bacterium
Lineage: Bacteria
Description: partial 16S ribosomal RNA
Rfam family: Bacterial small subunit ribosomal RNA
Source: RNAcentral
GACGAACGCUGGCGGCGUGCUUAACACAUGCAAGUCGAACGGAAAGGCCCUGCUUUUGUGGGGUGCUCGAGUGGCGAACGGGUGAGUAACACGUGAGUAACCUGCCCUUGACUUUGGGAUAACUUCAGGAAACUGGGGCUAAUACCGGAUAGGAGCUCCUGCUGCAUGGUGGGGGUUGGAAAGUUUCGGCGGUUGGGGAUGGACUCGCGGCGUAUCCGCUUGUUGGUGGGGUAGUGGCUUACCAAGGCUUUGACGGGUAGCCGGCCUGAGAGGGUGACCGGCCACAAUGGGACUGAGAUACGGCCCAGACUCCUACGGGAGGCAGCAGUGGGGAAUAUUGCACAAUGGGCGGAAGCCUGAUGCAGCAACGCCGCGUGCGGGAUGACGGCCUUCGGGUUGUAAACCGCUUUCGCCUGAGACGAAGCGUGAGUGACGGUAAUGGGUAAAGAAGCACCGGCUAACUACGUG